GGUUAAGCGACUAAGCGUACACGGUGGAUGCCCUGGCAGUCAGAGGCGAUGAAGGACGUGCUAAUCUGCGAUAAGCGUCGGUAAGGUGAUAUGAACCGUUAUAACCGGCGAUUUCCGAAUGGGGAAACCCAGUGUGUUUCGACACACUAUCAUUAACUGAAUCCAUAGGUUAAUGAGGCGAACCGGGGGAACUGAAACAUCUAAGUACCCCGAGGAAAAGAAAUCAACCGAGAUUCCCCCAGUAGCGGCGAGCGAACGGGGAGCAGCCCAGAGCCUGAAUCAGUGUGUGUGUUAGUGGAAGCGUCUGGAAAGGCGCGCGAUACAGGGUGACAGCCCCGUACACAAAAAUGCACAUGCUGUGAGCUCGAUGAGUAGGGCGGGACACGUGGUAUCCUGUCUGAAUAUGGGGGGACCAUCCUCCAAGGCUAAAUACUCCUGACUGACCGAUAGUGAACCAGUACCGUGAGGGAAAGGCGAAAAGAACCCCGGCGAGGGGAGUGAAAAAGAACCUGAAACCGUGUACGUACAAGCAGUGGGAGCCUCUUUUAUGGGGUGACUGCGUACCUUUUGUAUAAUGGGUCAGCGACUUAUAUUCUGUAGCAAGGUUAACCGAAUAGGGGAGCCGAAGGGAAACCGAGUCUUAACUGGGCGUUAAGUUGCAGGGUAUAGACCCGAAACCCGGUGAUCUAGCCAUGGGCAGGUUGAAGGUUGGGUAACACUAACUGGAGGACCGAACCGACUAAUGUUGAAAAAUUAGCGGAUGACUUGUGGCUGGGGGUGAAAGGCCAAUCAAACCGGGAGAUAGCUGGUUCUCCCCGAAAGCUAUUUAGGUAGCGCCUCGUGAAUUCAUCUCCGGGGGUAGAGCACUGUUUCGGCAAGGGGGUCAUCCCGACUUACCAACCCGAUGCAAACUGCGAAUACCGGAGAAUGUUAUCACGGGAGACACACGGCGGGUGCUAACGUCCGUCGUGAAGAGGGAAACAACCCAGACCGCCAGCUAAGGUCCCAAAGUCAUGGUUAAGUGGGAAACGAUGUGGGAAGGCCCAGACAGCCAGGAUGUUGGCUUAGAAGCAGCCAUCAUUUAAAGAAAGCGUAAUAGCUCACUGGUCGAGUCGGCCUGCGCGGAAGAUGUAACGGGGCUAAACCAUGCACCGAAGCUGCGGCAGCGACGCUUAUGCGUUGUUGGGUAGGGGAGCGUUCUGUAAGCCUGUGAAGGUGUGCUGUGAGGCAUGCUGGAGGUAUCAGAAGUGCGAAUGCUGACAUAAGUAACGAUAAAGCGGGUGAAAAGCCCGCUCGCCGGAAGACCAAGGGUUCCUGUCCAACGUUAAUCGGGGCAGGGUGAGUCGACCCCUAAGGCGAGGCCGAAAGGCGUAGUCGAUGGGAAACAGGUUAAUAUUCCUGUACUUGGUGUUACUGCGAAGGGGGGACGGAGAAGGCUAUGUUGGCCGGGCGACGGUUGUCCCGGUUUAAGCGUGUAGGCUGGUUUUCCAGGCAAAUCCGGAAAAUCAAGGCUGAGGCGUGAUGACGAGGCACUACGGUGCUGAAGCAACAAAUGCCCUGCUUCCAGGAAAAGCCUCUAAGCAUCAGGUAACAUCAAAUCGUACCCCAAACCGACACAGGUGGUCAGGUAGAGAAUACCAAGGCGCUUGAGAGAACUCGGGUGAAGGAACUAGGCAAAAUGGUGCCGUAACUUCGGGAGAAGGCACGCUGAUAUGUAGGUGAAGCGACUUGCUCGUGGAGCUGAAAUCAGUCGAAGAUACCAGCUGGCUGCAACUGUUUAUUAAAAACACAGCACUGUGCAAACACGAAAGUGGACGUAUACGGUGUGACGCCUGCCCGGUGCCGGAAGGUUAAUUGAUGGGGUCAGCGCAAGCGAAGCUCUUGAUCGAAGCCCCGGUAAACGGCGGCCGUAACUAUAACGGUCCUAAGGUAGCGAAAUUCCUUGUCGGGUAAGUUCCGACCUGCACGAAUGGCGUAAUGAUGGCCAGGCUGUCUCCACCCGAGACUCAGUGAAAUUGAACUCGCUGUGAAGAUGCAGUGUACCCGCGGCAAGACGGAAAGACCCCGUGAACCUUUACUAUAGCUUGACACUGAACAUUGAGCCUUGAUGUGUAGGAUAGGUGGGAGGCUUUGAAGUGUGGACGCCAGUCUGCAUGGAGCCGACCUUGAAAUACCACCCUUUAAUGUUUGAUGUUCUAACGUUGACCCGUAAUCCGGGUUGCGGACAGUGUCUGGUGGGUAGUUUGACUGGGGCGGUCUCCUCCUAAAGAGUAACGGAGGAGCACGAAGGUUGGCUAAUCUUGGUCGGACAUCAGGAGGUUAGUGCAAUGGCAUAAGCCAGCUUGACUGCGAGCGUGACGGCGCGAGCAGGUGCGAAAGCAGGUCAUAGUGAUCCGGUGGUUCUGAAUGGAAGGGCCAUCGCUCAACGGAUAAAAGGUACUCCGGGGAUAACAGGCUGAUACCGCCCAAGAGUUCAUAUCGACGGCGGUGUUUGGCACCUCGAUGUCGGCUCAUCACAUCCUGGGGCUGAAGUAGGUCCCAAGGGUAUGGCUGUUCGCCAUUUAAAGUGGUACGCGAGCUGGGUUUAGAACGUCGUGAGACAGUUCGGUCCCUAUCUGCCGUGGGCGCUGGAGAACUGAGGGGGGCUGCUCCUAGUACGAGAGGACCGGAGUGGACGCAUCACUGGUGUUCGGGUUGUCAUGCCAAUGGCACUGCCCGGUAGCUAAAUGCGGAAGAGAUAAGUGCUGAAAGCAUCUAAGCACGAAACUUGCCCCGAGAUGAGUUCUCCCUGACCCUUUAAGGGUCCUGAAGGAACGUUGAAGACGACGACGUUGAUAGGCCGGGUGUGUAAGCGCAGCGAUGCGUUGAGCUAACCGGUACUAAUGAACCGUGAGGCUUAACCUU
This 2904-nucleotide ribosomal RNA is filed under the name Escherichia coli. RNAcentral's name for it is "23S ribosomal RNA". It matches the Rfam family "Bacterial large subunit ribosomal RNA". The record is from RNAcentral. Lineage: Bacteria; Pseudomonadati; Pseudomonadota; Gammaproteobacteria; Enterobacterales; Enterobacteriaceae.